CGGACGGGUGAGUAACGCGUGGAAAACCUGCCGUAUACUGGGGGAUAACACUUAGAAAUAGGUGCUAAUACCGCAUAAGCGCGCAGCUUCGCAUGAAGCGGUGUGAAAAACUCUGGUGGUAUACGAUGGUUCCGCGUCUGAUUAGCUAGUUGGUGGGGUAAUGGCCUACCAAGGCAACGAUCAGUAGCCGGCCUGAGAGGGUGAACGGCCACAUUGGGACUGAGACACGGCCCAAACUCCUACGGGAGGCAGCAG
This 255-nucleotide ribosomal RNA is filed under the name uncultured bacterium. Its description in RNAcentral is "partial 16S ribosomal RNA". It matches the Rfam family "Bacterial small subunit ribosomal RNA", at positions 99 to 354 of the family's 1533-position model. The record is from RNAcentral.